This 104-nucleotide transfer RNA is filed under the name Hypsizygus marmoreus. It matches the Rfam family "tRNA". Rfam says of the family: Transfer RNA (tRNA) molecules are approximately 80 nucleotides in length. Their secondary structure includes four short double-helical elements and three loops (D, anti-codon, and T loops). The record is from Rfam by way of RNAcentral. Lineage: Eukaryota; Fungi; Basidiomycota; Agaricomycetes; Agaricales; Lyophyllaceae.
GGUGAGAUGGCCGAGCGGUCUAAGGCGCCAGACUAAGGUUCUGGUUUGGAACCGAAAUUCAUCUAGUCUCUUCGGGGGCGGGAGUUCGAAUCUCCCUCUCAUCA